Molecule: ribosomal RNA, 449 nt
Filed under: uncultured bacterium
Lineage: Bacteria
Description: bacterial SSU rRNA
Rfam family: Bacterial small subunit ribosomal RNA
Source: RNAcentral
AUCCAGACUCCUACGGGAGGCAGCAGUGGGGAAUAUUGGGCAAUGGGCGCAAGCCUGACCCAGCAACGCCGCGUGAAGGAAGAAGGCUUUCGGGUUGUAAACUUCUUUUCUCAGGGACGAAAGAAGUGACGGUACCUGAAUAAGAAGCCCCGGCUAACUUCGUGCCAGCAGCCGCGGUAAUACGAAGGGGGCAAGCGUUGUUCGGAAUUACUGGGCGUAAAGGGAGUGUAGGCGGUUUAGUAAGAUAGUGGUGAAAUCCCAGGGCUUAACUUUGGAAUUGCCAUUAUAACUAUUAGACUAGAAUUACAGAGAGGAUAGUGGAAUACCCAGUGUAGAGGUGAAAUUCGUAGAUAUUGGGUAGAACACCAGUGGCGAAGGCGACUAUCUGGCUGUACAUUGACGCUGAGGCUCGAAAGCAUGGGGAUCAAACAGGAUUAGAUACCCGUGUA